UCGCUAGGGGAGCCGGUUGGCGGCUGAGAGAAAGAUUUUUCGACCCUUUGAACCUGAUCUGGUUAAUACCAGCGUAGGGAAGCACG
This 86-nucleotide non-coding RNA is filed under the name human gut metagenome. Its description in RNAcentral is "TPP riboswitch (THI element)". It matches the Rfam family "TPP riboswitch aptamer (THI element)", at positions 8 to 91 of the family's 105-position model. From Rfam's summary of the family: Vitamin B(1) in its active form thiamin pyrophosphate (TPP) is an essential coenzyme that is synthesised by coupling of pyrimidine and thiazole moieties in bacteria. The record is from RNAcentral.